This 5044-nucleotide long non-coding RNA is filed under the name Salmo salar (Atlantic salmon). RNAcentral's name for it is "lncRNA (ENSSSAG00000055267.2)". Lineage: Eukaryota; Metazoa; Chordata; Actinopteri; Salmoniformes; Salmonidae. The record is from RNAcentral.
GUAUUUAUUACGGAAACCGUUUACCGUUUAACAACCAAACGGAAGCAACAGAGAAAAUUGAACGAAAUGGGGCGGGACCUACCUGAUUUUGUCCAAUAGGAACUCUCGAUUGCUUUUUCCUCUUGGAAUGGACGGUUUUUGCAACAACAAAAAAUAACAGACGAAACGUUUUGCAACAGAAUCGGCGUAAUGAUUACACCUCAGUAGAAUUCCUAGUCUCGUCAUUGAGGUGAUUUGUCCACGUGAGCUUCCGUACUGUUCAUUCAGCUGAGAGCUGCAAAGAGCGAGUGGAUGGGGGGUUUGUGCUAACUGGAAUUUCUAUCAAUUUCAUUCUUGUUGUAUGGACAUCUAUGCAAUAGUGUACUGUUUGUCUACAUUAUUUCGAAUGCGCAUUUGUGUGUGUGUCUCUUGCUGAUUGGCGAGCAUUCAUUAAACAGCGACACUGCACCAACCUGUUCUAGCUAGCUAAAUUUGCUAACAGUAGCUAGCUAACGUUAGCAAGCUGUGUGCAUACGGCAUACCAUAGCAGGCAGCAAUGUUAUAAUGCAAUACAUUAAUUUAGAAGAAAUAUGCUAUGCUAAAAAUGAUUUGAUUAGGCUCGGUUAGUCAAUGCACGGCUUGGCACACGUCCCCAGGAAUCCUACCGCUAGCUGAUUAACUGGCUGGUAAAAACAGCAGCGAGCCGACGGCCACCACCACAACAUGAGUCAGAUUAACGUUAGAUGUCGCGCUCUUUGAAUACUCUCUCUGCUACUGAUGAUGAUGCUGCUCAUCUUUCAUUUCAGUUUUACGGCGGCGGAGGGAGAUUCUCUACUAUGACAAUUGGAGGCAGAAAAUGGAAACCGUGGAAAAAUGGAACAAAUGCCUAAUAUCACCUAAGUUGUUGGAUAGAAAAGUAUUUCCCAAACAUAAUGGCGAGACAGGCAUGAUUGUGAAGCAUCUUCACAACACAUUCAGACUUCAACAUAGUUUGCAGAUACAGUCCAUCAGUCGCUCAGAAUGUGCCACUGGCUCCUGUCCAAAUUUGAUGAUGAGUAGGAAUGAGCACCACGAGCCUCGGCCUGUCCCUGUUGCCCUCACCCCCCAGCUUGUCCCAAGGGCCCAUCGGCCCCUCUGCCUCUCCGUCUCCUCAGAUAGCAAUGGCCGCUUCAAAGCUCUGGAGACCCAAGAGUGGAAAAACAAUCUCAAAGCCCAGAUGGAGCAGGCCCACAGUGCAGGAGCAGCCAGCAGCACAGGCUCCCUGGAGAGGGCCUCGUUGUUUUGUGCCUCUGGUUCCACCACGGCCUCCAGCUCUGGCCUAUCCAGCCCCGUGGAGAACCUCACCAAGAGCAAGUCCUCCAGCCGCUUCUCCCUAUUUUCCCCUCCCUGGAACAGCAGCUCAGAGUCCGACUCCAACCCCCCCUCCCGCUCCGGCUCCAAGAAGCUGCGUAACUACAGCAUGAGGGCUGCCACAGGUCCGGCCGGGGUGGGGGCAGUGGGUAGGACGGGUCCACCAGACACCCCAGACACACCCAAACUGAACGUCCCGGAACACUUCCAGUACUCUGAGCCCGUCAUCUCCAAGGUGACGGACUACAUCUUCGUGGGCAACCUGAACGCAGCGUACAACGGGCGCACGCUGUGUCGCAACAACAUUGACAGCAUCAUCGACAUGAGCAGCAUGCCGGGGGACCCCGGCCCAAGCCUCAGCCUUAUCCCUUGCACCUGCUCCCGAGGCGCCCGCCACAGCUGGUCCCGCCUCAAGGUGGACAUCUGCGAUGUCCCAGACGCGCUGGGCGAGGGAAGCCCCGCCCUGAAGCAGCACUGCUUCGAGGACAUCAACGAGUGCAUCGAGGCUUCCACGGAAAAAAGGAAACGAGUGCUGGUCCACUGCCGUGACGGGUACUCCCUGGCUCCGACCUGUAUCAUCCAGUACCUCAUGGUGAAGCAGAAUAUGCGGCUGAUCUCGGCCUACGAGCUGCUGAGGGCCAAGUACCCUGUUAACAUCAGGGAGUGUCACCAGAAUGUCCUGGUGAGCCUGGAGAGAGCUCUGCGGCCUGGAGGCAACGUGGACCCAGAGUGCUUCAAGCAGGCCAUCUCAAGGAAAGUGGCCUGGACCUGACCUGGCUCCUCCCCCUCCACUCCACUCUCCCUGUAGUUUGGCCCUCUUUAUUUUUCUAAUCUAACCGUGGCAUUCAAUGGAUAUUUUUCUAUGGACAAUUUUUGAAAGGCAGCUUUACUUUCUGUCAUAGUCAACUGGAUAUGGAGAUGUUGCCACUAACAGUGAGCUUCAAACAUAUUUGGACUGACAUUUGUUGUUGUUUUGGCUCUGUACUCCAGCACUUUGGAGGUUAAAGUGCAGACUGUCAGCUUUAAUUUUAGGGUAUUUUCAUCCAUAUCUGGUGAACCAUUGUAGAAGUGUUUAGAAGCAUAUUUUAUUUACAAUAAAAGUGACUCCAAAAUGACACUAUAUGUUAUUUACCAUUAAUUUCUAUUGGGCACAAAAUUAUCUGAAACACCACCAGAACAAACAGCAAAUGCCUUCAACAAGUUUGUAGUCUCACAAGCUUGAUGUAAUCUUUGCGUGCUAGGAAUAUGGGACCAAAUACUAAACUUUUGACCAGUUUAAUACAAAUAUAAGUGAAUUUGUCCCAAUACUUUUGGUAUGUGCAAAAAGUGCUGUACUUUCUUAACAGUUCACCAGAUAUGGAUGAAAAUACCCUAAAAUUAAAGCUGACAGUCAGCACUUUAACCUCAGUCAUUGUAUCAUUUCAAAUCCAAAGUGCUGGAGUACAGAGCCAAAACAACAUGUCAGUCCCAAUACUUUUGAAGCUCACUGUACUUGCGACGCAUCAAAAUGCUUGUGAAAAUGUAAAUGCAAGUUGAUGUAUUUGUCCUCUUCUGAGCCCGUGAAUUUGACUUUGAUGUUUCUCCAUAAGCGAUUAGAUGUUUUACUCUUUACAUCUGCUAGAUAUGGAAAAUGUUUCAUUCUAGACUGUGACUUCAGGCUGAAUAAGCCCUUUGCCACGCUGGUUUUAUUGUGGCUGUGUUUUUAUUUCAGGGGAAUUUGAAUGGGAGUUCUCAGGAGAACUAAUGAUGAUGUCAUUCCAAUAUAGCUGCAAACACUGCUGAUCUAAUCUGAAAGCUCUGUGUGAAUAAUGGAGGACGUCACUGCUCUCUUGGAUCUACAUCGGCCAAUCACAGGAGCAGAUCAUUACUGUACUAUAUCAGCGACAUGCAGGGGACUUUGCACAUGGUUGCCGAUUUGUUGUUGUAAAUCCCUCCCUCACACCUCAAUUGGUCUGUGACCCUCCUGCCACAGACAGACAUGACAAUGUGGUAUCCUCCUCAGACAUUUUCCAUUAUGGUUCAGAAGACCAGGUGGAAGACAAUGAAUUAUCAUAGAUCGUCCUCUAUGAGGAAAACUAACUUACAUGACGUUCCCUAUCACUUUAACUCACCGUUGUAAACAUUUGCUGUGGUACUUCUUGGAAACUGUGGCUUUGUAAUUUCAGCUGUUGUGUAUGCAAUGAAAAUGGAUGGUCAGUAUCUAUCUCUCUGGAAUGUCAGUAUUAGUAUAUUAUAAAUCAGACUGAAUGGUGAUUCAAUGUUGUACUGCGAGAAAUUCUAUUGCACUACCUAAAAAGGUUCUCCAGAAAUGCACAGUUUGAUGGAUAUUAGUAAGCUGACAUGAAUUUAAACACAACUUUUUUAUUAUCAUUGUUCUGUGGUAUGGAAAUGUCUUUGUAAAAUUAUUGUUUUGAAGACUUUGUGCUCUAGUGUUCGAUUCAGUUAAUUUGGUCCCAAUAUUAUUCCCUUAAAGGGACAGUUUGUUCAAAAGUAAUAUUUCCAUUAUUUUACUUAUCUUGGAAGUAGUCAUAGACCAGUAGUGACUACGUCUAGGAUUAGGGUUUCAUUACUUUGCUUCAGCCACAACAGGCUAAAUGUUAGCAUUCUCUACCUCAACACAAGGGUUGAAUGUUGCCCACUUUAGAACUGUCUGAAUUGCAAAAUCAACUCAAAUUAACAUAACAUUGGAAAGCAAAACUUUCUCUCCAGGGAGUUGUGUAGAGGCUCAUAUGAUUUAGAAAAUAGUUACAUUUCUGUAAAAAAAAAAAAAGAAAUGUCUUGCUACAGUAAUUUAUCAUAUUCAUAAAAUGCCACUGAUCCAAUGUUAUUGUAGUAUGGUUAUGAUCAUAAACCACUAUUCUUUUAUCUGACAGAUUUAAUAUUAGAGUUGCUUAUUUUUGUCAGCAGUGGUUGUAGUACAUUUUUGUUGUUCUGUGACCAGUAUGGGUGGAAUGGAAGCUUCACUAUAUGAGUAUGGUGCCUUUGCUUGAAUUUGUCUUGUGCGACUGUACAGUGACACUUGCACACUUUGUAUGCAGUUGUUGAGCGUUGAUAAACAUUUUUCUACUUUAAAAUGUUGCCUAUUGAUGCUCUCAAUGUUUUUAAUUGGAAUACAUGAGGUAAGGAUUUUAUGAAAGAAUACAGUUAUGUGAAUUGGUUAUUGCUGUAACAUGUUUUGGUGGUCAGUGGGUGCACAGUCUUAUGUACUAUGCGAAAUGUGGAUGUGAUCAGGGUUACAGAAUGACCCUAACUUUCCCAAAAUUCCCAGGUGUUCCAGAAAUCCUGGUCGGAGGAUUCAGGAUUGUCUGUGUAUUUCCACCUGAUUCCUGGAAUCUACCAACUGGGAUUUCUGGAAAACCUGGGAAUUUUGCAACCCUAGAUGUGAUGAUUCAACAUUUUGUGCAAUACUGCACGCCAUACAAUUUAGGCCAUAGACGGAUGUUUUAACAUUUUCAAGGUGAAUAUACUAUAUUUAAAAAUAAACGGUUAUAUAAGGUUUAUUUGACCCUUGUGAUGGUGUCUUUGGAUCGUCUCUCAACUUUGGUUUGGUUUUACAACUUGUUCUCAGGUGAACUGUAUAAUGGCCCAGAAUGUUCUGACUGAACUGUAUAUGAAACCAGAAUAUGUGAAGCAAUGCAUUUCCUGUGUCGAGUUUUUGGUAGGUGUACAUAUUAAAAAAAGACGUUACAUCAUUGCCAUAUGUAUAUUGUUUGAC